RNAcentral lists this ribosomal RNA (321 nucleotides) under uncultured Rubrobacter sp. RNAcentral's name for it is "bacterial SSU rRNA". It matches the Rfam family "Bacterial small subunit ribosomal RNA", at positions 343 to 656 of the family's 1533-position model. Lineage: Bacteria; Bacillati; Actinomycetota; Rubrobacteria; Rubrobacterales; Rubrobacteraceae. The record is from RNAcentral.
GGGAGGCAGCAGUCGGGAAUCUUGCACAAUGGGCGAAAGCCUGAUGCAGCAACGCCGUGUGAGCGACGAAGGCCCUAGGGUCGUAAAGCUCUGUUGUUAGGGACGAAGGGCGAAGGGUUAAUAGCCCUUAGCCUGACGGUACCUUUCGAGGAAGCCUCGGCUAACUACGUGCCAGCAGCCGCGGUAAUAACGUAGGGGGCGAGCGUUGUCCGGAAUUAUUGGGCGUAAAGGGCGCGUAGGCGGCCUGGUAAGUCUGCUGUGAAACCUUGGGGCUCAACCCCAAGCGUGCAGUGGAUACUGUCAGGCUAGAGGAUGGUAGAG